Molecule: non-coding RNA, 361 nt
Filed under: Pseudoalteromonas piratica
Lineage: Bacteria; Pseudomonadati; Pseudomonadota; Gammaproteobacteria; Alteromonadales; Pseudoalteromonadaceae
Description: Pseudoalteromonas sp. OCN003 cspA thermoregulator
Rfam family: cspA thermoregulator
Source: Rfam by way of RNAcentral
UAAAGUUGUACAUAGAAGCUAGAUGCGAUAUUAGCUGAAAUAUAAAUUAAGCCCGACGGUGAUAUUCACCACAAUUUACACUUUUAUUUAAGGUUAAAAAUUAUGUCUAAUAAAGUAGAUGGCGUAGUAAAAUGGUUUGACGAGUCAAAAGGUUUUGGCUUCAUUUCACAAAAUGAUGGCGGUAAAGACGUAUUUGUACAUUUCCGUGCAAUCCAGUCAGAAGGCUUCAAAACACUUGCUGAAGGUCAAGCUGUUUCUUUCGAAGUUGAAGAAGGUCAAAAAGGUCUUCAAGCUGCGAACGUUGUAGUACUUUAAUUAGUUACUAUAAAAGAAAAGCGAGUUAUUAAACUCGCUUUUUUUG